Molecule: transfer RNA, 85 nt
Filed under: Cryomorphaceae bacterium BACL11 MAG-121001-bin54
Lineage: Bacteria; Pseudomonadati; Bacteroidota; Flavobacteriia; Flavobacteriales; Cryomorphaceae
Also listed under: 1 other name
Description: tRNA-Leu
Rfam family: tRNA
About the family: Transfer RNA (tRNA) molecules are approximately 80 nucleotides in length.
Source: RNAcentral
GCCCAGGUGGCGGAAUUGGUAGACGCGUUGGUCUCAAACACCAAUGGUGCAAACCGUGCCGGUUCGAUUCCGGCUCUGGGUACAA